Molecule: unclassified non-coding RNA, 1908 nt
Organism: Bradysia coprophila
Lineage: Eukaryota; Metazoa; Arthropoda; Insecta; Diptera; Sciaridae
Source: RefSeq, a predicted model, not a curated record
CUUGACAGUACUUUUCAGCGCGUGCGUAGAGACGGACAGUGGGGACAGUGACACAAAAAAAUUGAAAAAAAACGAUUUUGCGAUUUAUAAAUCAGGCGAUGAGUUAUCAGAAUUAUCUCGCGUAACAUUUAAUUUAAAUCUUUGGUUUGAAUGACAGAAAGUCAUAGAAGACCAAUCGACAAUGAAACAAAGAUCGAAUACGAAGGCAUUUUCUGCAUUGGAAACCAAUCCAUUGGCAAAUACAUUCCUCGCAAUAAAUGAACGGCCUGUGGAUGAUAUUUCACUAGAUUUUUUCUACAAACCGCAUACGGUAACAUUACUGGCAAUAUCCAUUUUUGCUGUAAUGUACUGGGCUUUUUCAAGAAGUGAAUCCAAUGGCGAAGAAAACAUUUGGGCCGGAAUACUGAGCGUGAUAUUUUUCUUUCUAAUCAUUUCGGUGUUGGCCUUUCCAAAUGGUCCAUUUACGCGGCCACAUCCAGCUGUAUGGCGAAUACUAUUCGGAGUAUCUGUUUUAUACAUGCUGUUCCUGCAAUUUCUUAUGUUCCAAAAUCACAAAAGUAUCAUGAACAUCAUGUACUGGUUCGAUCCAAAGCUGAAACAUUUUCAUAUCAACAUGGACAAGGAAUAUGGGGUCAAUUGCUCCGACAUAAACUUUGAUCGUGUUUGGUCUCACGUUGAUGUAUUUGCUGUUGGACAUUACUUGGGAUGGAUGUUCAAGGCAAUUUUGAUCAGACACAUGGGCAUUCUGUGGGCAAUAUCAAUAAUGUGGGAAAUAACCGAAAUCGCUUUCGCACAUCUGUUGCCGAAUUUUGUUGAAUGCUGGUGGGAUGCUCUAAUUUUGGAUGUUGUGUUGUGCAACGGCUUUGGCAUUUGGUGUGGUCUUAAAAUUUGCAAAAUUCUCGAAAUGCGAGAGUACAAAUGGGCUAGCAUAAGAGACAUAUCGACGACAAGCGGUAAAAUCAAACGAGCUGUCUUACAAUUCACACCGGGCAGCUUUGCGCAUGUGCGAUGGUUGGAUCCGAAAUCAACGUACAUGAGAUUUUUGGCUGUGUGUCAACUGGUGAUCUUUUGGCAGGUGACCGAGCUCAAUACAUUCUUUUUGAAGCAUAUUUUCGAAAUGCCUCCGUCCCAUCCCAUUGUGAUCGUUCGGCUAGUCUUCAUGGGACUGUUUGUGGCGCCGUCGGUUCGUCAAUACUACAUCUAUAUCACGGACACACGAUGCAAACGUGUCGGUACGCAAUGUUGGGUGUACGGAGCGAUUAUGGUAACGGAGGCCAUGCUGUGCAUUAAAAAUGGAAAGGAAUUGUUUGAACGAACGCAAGCGGUUAACAUUAUCGUGUGGUUGCUUAUCCAAUUAGGUGUUUCAAUUGUGUUCGUGUAUGGGUGCAUGGUGUGGCAGAAAUAUUUCACGAACGAGUCAGAGUCCAGAGAGAGUUCGCCACUCAAAAAUUACAAUAAAUUCGAUCAAAAUGAUUCAGCAAUACUACGGGGCGAUUCGAAAGGAAAGUCACCGAAAAAAUCUCCUGCAAAAUUACGAGUCAAGGCUGACUAAGGAAAAAGGGGACAUUUAGCCAAUUAACGGACAGCAUGAUAGACGACAAAAAAAGAUUUCGUUAGAUAUUAAUUUACUGUUUUUGAAAGGAGUUGUUUCGUCUAUUUUGGAUACCAAAAAUUAGUUUAAGCUAAUGAUUAAUUAAUCUUAAGUUAUUUUCGAGUAAAAAGAAUGCACUCUGUGAGUUUCUAAUUAAUAAAAAAACAAAAAAUUGUAAACAAAUUCUUCUUCCUAUUCUUCUAUUGUAUAAUGAGCUAUUAUAUGAACCUACUAUUUGAACUAUGAACUAUGUAUGUAUGAACGAGUGGAAGCAACAAUUUCAGAUAAUAAAUAGUCGUGCGAUUGCGGCAAUAAAA